RNAcentral lists this long non-coding RNA (2331 nucleotides) under Homo sapiens (human). Its description in RNAcentral is "HSALNT0118868". The record is from RNAcentral. Lineage: Eukaryota; Metazoa; Chordata; Mammalia; Primates; Hominidae.
GGGGAGAAGAAGGGAAAGGAGUUUGGAUGGACGAACAGCAUAAGCAACAUUCUGGAAUUUUCUUUAAUGCUCUCAUGAAUGCAUUCUUGGAAUUUUCUAAUAUGUAAACAUUAUUUUGUGGCCAACUGACUUCAAUUAUAUGUAGAACCAUCCAAAAGUCUCCUCUCAGGCAUUAAGGAACAUGAACGCUUUUAAGGGAUUUCCAAACUGGAAAUAACCAACACAACUAGGUCAAGCAUCCAUCAUGCACCAUGUACACCACAGUGCACCACAGCUGAGACCAGUGUGGAUCCCACCAUCAGCAGCUUUUCCAAAGGACCCAGGCAAAAUGUGUGGUGUUUCUGAGGGCAUCCUCUUCCACAUUUUUAGCGUAAUCUACCUCGACACACAGAUGCAAUGCUCACAGAGGCCAGAACGCUUCCCAGAAGCAGCCAAGAGUGAGCACUUUCUCAUGGUGUAAAAUAUUCUACCAAAACCUUAUUUCCAAUAGGAGGGUCCAGAUAAUCAAAGCUUCGGAUCUCCUAAAACCUGGCUUUGCCUCUUACUUGAGAACUUUGCAAAGAAGAAUGCUAGCCAGUGAAUGUUCAGAGAGGAAGGAAGAAGAAGCUGUCCAAUGACCUUUUUUCUUAUGGCUUUCUAACUUGAUUCUUGACACUGUCACCAAGGAGUAAUCUGUGGAGAGACAUUUGAUUGAUUAUCUCUGCAAUCCUCCCCUCCCCACUUCCUUCUCUGGCCCCUCCUUGUCCACAUGGGCCUCUGGAGAAACCAGCGAGGGAUGACUGGGGAUAAAGGCUCGUCUCUGGAGAGGGCUGCCAACCUCACCUUGUUCCAAGUCUCCACAAAACACAGCCAACCUUCCAGACACAAAAGAAGCACCUCCUGACUCCAUCUCUUUUCCUUGUUUUCUCUCUUUACAAGCAUAUUGGUAUUUUUUCACAGAGAGAUAAUUCCCAUUCACUUCUAGGAAGAAAAUUUCGCUCUCAAAACUGUUGGUGAGAGACCCCUUGAAGAGAGAACUUCUCUGUUCUUCUGGAGGAGAUGAUUUAGUAAGGCAGUGCUGGAGUUCAAACUGAGCCUCCACAGGCCUAACUUGCUUCACUUUUAAGCUUUUAGGAAGAGAGCUUUUAGAGAGAGAAAAUUGCUUUCCAAAAGGGAACUCUAGAAAGAGGACGAAUGAGCAGGGCUGAAACUUUGAGAGAAAAUGGAAGGAGUUGGAAGAUGGAGGGAGGAACCAAAGUAACUAAUAAGAAUUUCUGGGGCUGGGUGCAGUGGCUCACACUUGAAAUCUCAGCACUUUGGGAGGCUGAAGUCGUGGAUCACAUGAGUCCAGGAAUUCAAGAGCAGCCUGGGCAAUAUGGCAAGACCCCGUCUCUACAAAAAAUACAAAAAUUAGCUGGGCAUGGGGGUGUCUGUAGUCCCAGCUACUCGGGAGGCUGAAGCAGGAAGAUCCCUGGAGCCCAGAGGUUGAGGCUGCAGUGGGCCGUAAUCACGCCACUGCGCUCCAGCCUGGACGGCCAAGUGAGACUAUCUCAAAAAAAAAAAAAGAAUUUAUUAAUUUCUUCUUAUGAAAUAUACAAUAUAGGCCCCCUCUUUUUGCUCCUGUAUGAGAAUGUGAAGAAAAGUCUUUGGCUUGAUGUGCAGUCCUGAUUCCUCUGGAUUCCUUUUGGGAGAGAGGUUAGAACAAGAACUGAGGCCUGGUUCCAGUAAGUGCCUGGAUGCAGGACAGCAGGGUAGCUGACAUCCUGGAUAUGCAAAGUAACAGCAUGGAGAAUAAAGGAGUGAGGAAAAUUAAUAAAACAUGGAAUAUUUUAAUAAGACUGCAAGGAAGCAUACAGAGACACAUGGAAAAUACAAAGAUAGCUGUUUUAUUGUAGCAUGGACAUGGACUUUAUGGCUGGCAAUUUGGGCGUUUCAAGCUCUUUUUGUUGUUUACUUGUGGUACAUGUUUGACAAGUAAUUUCCAUUUUCCAAGUCAUUUUUUUCAUCUGUAAAAUGAGACUAAUUCAAAUAACUUCCCUCGAUAGGUUUCUAUUUUUGGUGAGAAUUGUUUUUUUCUUUUCAUGUAGUAUAUAUUUUAUUAGCUUGUACUAAUACAUUCUCAUAUUACAAAGUCAAUUUAGUGGAAGAAUCUUCCUUCUGAUAUUUGAUUCAUGUGAAAUAACACAAACAGAACUAUACAUUCAAAAAAAUUCUCAUUUAGAUAACAAAAAAAAGACAAGUUAAACAACAAAAAUCUUUUCCUUUCUCACAGGUGGACAUUGAAGUGGACCUAAUUCGGUUUUCCUUUUAAAAGCCCCCACAAACAAAAGUAGUUUGAAACCUAUUUAAAAU